UAGGGAAUCUUCCGCAAUGGGCGAAAGCCUGACGGAGCAACGCCGCGUGAGUGAUGAAGGUCUUCGGAUCGUAAAACUCUGUUAUUAGGGAAGAACAAAUGUGUAAGUAACUAUGCACGUCUUGACGGUACCUAAUCAGAAAGCCACGGCUAACUACGUGCCAGCAGCCGCGGUAAUACGUAGGUGGCAAGCGUUAUCCGGAAUUAUUGGGCGUAAAGCGCGCGUAGGCGGUUUUUUAAGUCUGAUGUGAAAGCCCACGGCUCAACCGUGGAUGGUCAUUGGAAACUGGAAAACUUGAGUGCAGAAGAGGAAAGUGGAAUUCCAUGUGUAGCAGUGAAAUGCGCAGAGAUAUGGAGGAACACCAGUAGCGAAGGCGACUUUCUGGUCUGUAACUGACGCUGAUGUGCGAAAGCGUGGGGAUCAAACAGG
This 429-nucleotide ribosomal RNA is filed under the name Actinomycetes bacterium. RNAcentral's name for it is "Actinobacteria bacterium partial 16S ribosomal RNA". It matches the Rfam family "Bacterial small subunit ribosomal RNA", at positions 355 to 776 of the family's 1533-position model. Lineage: Bacteria; Bacillati; Actinomycetota; Actinomycetes. The record is from RNAcentral.